UUCCAUUACAACUACUUCUUGCAAGAAAGGGACAUACUUCUUCAAACCUCCAUUGUGAAUAAAUUCCUUGACUCCUGGGAAGUGAUAGGUAAUGUCCAGGUCGCCCACAAUAAACUUAACUGGUACUUUAAUUUGUAACCCAGUCCAAGGUGCUGUCAACUCCCAGUUUCUGCAACAAGCAACAGAAGAUUACUAGUUUGUAUAACUCAAUUCCUUCCACAAAUGAGAUGGCAACGGUUGACGCUACAUGCAAUUUUAACCUCACACACUAGCUGAUCCUAAACUCAAAGUCUAUGCCUAGGCAACAUCCUUUAGAACAGUAAUGAGAAAACAUGUUGCUCUGUUGAAAUAAUGUGUCACAUAGAAAGCCAUAGAUUUUGGAACAGGAAAUGUGAAAUGAAGUAGUAUGCAUAAGACAAAUAUAUGGAAAAUGAAUCCUAUAUCAAGCAAAAUGGCUAUAUGUUAAUGAUGACAAAAAGGCAAAAAUGACAAAAUGUAGCUGUGCAUGUGUAGAACAUACAGAUCCAAACAUCGAUAGUAGUUCAACCCUCCAGUGAAGCCUUUCUGGUUAAAUUUGCUGACAUAAUAAUUGAUAUCCUCUUCUGACAGCCAAGGCGGCAAACUUGGAGGGUCAGGUAAACCUCUGAAUCCUAUUUCUUUAGGCACACAAGGUGGCUUUGGAUUCCGAGAUGUAAGAAAUCUUCUUAUUAUUUUUUCAGUACCAGCUUGGGAAAAGUCAUCUUCAAUCUCACCUGGUUCCUGCAUUGUAAUUUGGUAAGUUUUUCUGCUGGUUAGUUCAAAGGAGCAAGAAAAAUGGAUUACUUUUACAGCAUCAAAGAGGAGGUGAAAAGAAAUUUAGGUUGAAAAUGCAUGCUAACAUCCAGAUAGCAAGAUAAGUAUUCCAGACCAUGUCUUCAAGGUUAGUUUCUCAAUGGAAAUAUAAACCAAAAUAAGAAAUGAUUCUAAGUUAGGUAAUUUGGCCAGAAGAAUCCCUAUUGAGGACCAUAAGCCCGUAUAAAAUGCCGUUCAGAAUCGAUAUUGUGCAAUGCAUUUCACACCCCCUAAAUACUGUAGAGCCAAUCCUUGAAAAUGAUCAACACAAAUUGAUUUGAUAUGUAGAUGUAUGGCAAUGAUAUGUCGUCGGGUGUAUUGAACAUAUUCUCUGAAAAUCAUCAGAAUUAGCAGUUAUAUACAAUUUUAAGUAAAAUAAUAAUAAUAAUAGUCAAACAAAAAGGAAAAUAAAGACCAUGAGAAUGGAUUGUUAGCUAUCGGCUACCAGCUACCAGCAACAGUUGAAUAAAGUAAGCCACUCGUAACAUUUCAAGCACAUACACUUUAUAACAAAUAGUCUACAAUACAAGUAUAUUUGUAAGAUCAUUUUCAAUUUGCCACAACUAUAUUCUAAAGCUAUGUGUUAUCAGUGGUGGAAAAGAAAAACAUAUAUCAUUUGGAGUCAUUGAGCUUAGAUAGUAAGUAGAGGCAACCAGAGCAAAGUAGAACAGAAGCUGAGAAGCAAAGUAAAUCCAUGGGAGAGUGUAUAACUGCUGUCUUACUUUUUUCAAAGAAACCAAUCAGAAGAAGCAUGACAAUGACAUGUCCCAGCUUGGUUUUCAGCUCAUUCACAGUUUUUACUUCUAACCAUUUCGGUCGUUCCUUCAAGGUGAAUAAUCCAAAUAAACUUGAUCUAUGAGGCACGCUUUGCCCUGACAACGACUUUGCAAUGUCAAGAUUGCUAACAAAAAGCUCAUAAAGACCCAUUCCAAAAACCAGCAUCACUGUUCCUAAAAGAUAGACAUCUGAAAAUGCAUUAAAUUUAUAAUCAGUCACUUGGUUAAGAAAGUUUGGCAGGAAGUCAUAUUAUAUAUAUUUACUAUUUAACAUGCAAAAACAAAAGAACUUGAUGAAAUUUAAAAUGGAUGAAAAUCCAAUUUAUAUCCUGCAACAAUUCCAAGUAUAGUGACUCAUAGAUGAAGCCAAUUAUCAAAUAUAUUUGCCAUCUCAUUUAUUUAAUUUUGAUUCCUACUGUAGGAAGAUUAUUCCAAUCCAAGGUUUAUAGCAGAACCAUAUGUGCAAAACCACUGCUAUAAAUCAUAGUAUCAAAAUGAUCUUGGCUAAAAUGGAAUUGUAUCUAUUGCAUUGAGUAUACAAGGCACAUUUUAACUAAUCUGGUGCAGAAGUUUCAGCUAAUGAAAUAUUUGAGAAUUGAUAUUAGCUACCGCCAGUAGCCAUAAAUAGCUUACACUGUUGAACCCAAAAGAAAAAAGUUACAGUAAGGCAAAGAAUUCAGUGCAAAUGCAUAGCAAAACACCAGCAGCAUAGCUAGUCCUUUAGAGGAAGGUGGGGUAAGGUUAAGCAGAAAAGCAGUUUGAUCAUUGUCCAUUGAUGUAAACUUCCACACAAUUCAAUUGUAAAUAAGAACUCAUGUCAAAGGGAUUAACAGUUUAUAUUAUAAAAUUCACCAGCAUACUGCCACUGGUCAUGGAUGAGUUAACAAUGCAUAUCUAAGAAAAUAUUCCUUUGUGCAGAUGAUGUAGUUUUAUUAAUAGAUGAAACCUGCAUAAUUAACAGGAAGUUAAAGAAUUAUUAGCACCAUUGGUUUAGGUAAAACUAAAACGGAGCACAUACUUGCAACUUUAGCAAUGGAAGGGGAAGCAAUCAAAGUGUUGUUAGCUUAGACGGGUGCAGAGUUCCCACAAGGAAAUUAGCAGAUUACAAUCAUAAGUUCACCAAACCAGCAAUUAGGACUAUAGAAUCAACAAUGCUAUAACAAAUUGAUAAACACUCACCUAUGGCCUCUACCAGCAAUAUGAUCACUUUACCACGAUUCACAAAGUAUUCCAUGAAAGAUGACACAACAUAAGUACAUCCCUGCAUAUCAAACAAAGUAACAUAGAACAAUGAACUAUAAAACAUUUAGCAAGUGUGGGGUAUGGCCCUAUUCAAUUGCAAAGAAUUGGGACUAUUUUCUAGAAAAAUUCCACAGCGAAAGCUGAAAAAUGGAGUUCCAUGUUCAAAUGUAACAUUUGUUGUCUAAAUGGGCAAGUGCAAACCAAUUUUUAAAAUUUUCCAAGUCAUCAAGUUGAAGUAGUUUUUCAGAAUUUCCCUUAGCCAAAGAAGACGGGAAACAUGAAAGCUUCAUUAGUUCUCCAUUUUGUCAUCAAAUUCAAAUGACAUGGGUUCAAGUUCCAAGAAUACCUUUUUUCACUCUAUUUUCUUCUUUUUUCUUUUUUUAUCAUUUUUCUCUCUUACGCAGACUGAUUUUCUUUUUUUAUUUUUUGGCUUACAGAGGCAGGGCCUAGCUCUGUAUCGACAACAAGGAUUACAUUAAAUAUUAAUCCACUUUCAAAUUAAAAGAGAUGGAUGAAGUUUACCUUCACAAAACACAGAAUUGAUCCAAUCAAGGAACCAAAAACCCCAAGAAUAGCCAAGAACCGGCAUCUAUAAAUAACCUACACAUCAUUUAGGAAAAGAAUUGGGGAAGGCAAUAAAAGUCUGGAUUAUUGAGGUUGCAUUUAUGAAGUUUAUCCACAAGAAUCGUUUUCAAGAUUCAAUAAACAACCAUAAGUGUAUAAAACAUGAUAUCACCUUCUCUAUGUCCUCCUCCAC
Molecule: unclassified non-coding RNA, 3606 nt
Filed under: Hevea brasiliensis (rubber tree)
Lineage: Eukaryota; Viridiplantae; Streptophyta; Magnoliopsida; Malpighiales; Euphorbiaceae
Source: RNAcentral